RNAcentral lists this ribosomal RNA (274 nucleotides) under uncultured bacterium. RNAcentral describes it as "partial 16S ribosomal RNA". It matches the Rfam family "Bacterial small subunit ribosomal RNA", at positions 523 to 796 of the family's 1533-position model. The record is from RNAcentral.
AUACGGAGGGAUCGAACGUUAAUCGGAAUUACUGGGCGUAAAGCGCGCGUAGGCGGCUUUGUAAGUCGGAUGUGAAAGCCCUGGGCUCAACCUGGGAAUGGCAUUCGAUACUGCAUGGCUAGAGUAUGGUAGAGGGAAGUGGAAUUUCCGGUGUAGCGGUGUAAUGCGUAGAUAUCGGAAGGAACACCAGUGGCGAAGGCGACUUCCUGGGCCAAUACUGACGCUGAGGUGCGAAAGCGUGGGGAGCAAACAGGAUUAGAAACCCCGGUAGUCC